This 465-nucleotide ribosomal RNA is filed under the name uncultured bacterium. RNAcentral's name for it is "partial 16S ribosomal RNA". It matches the Rfam family "Bacterial small subunit ribosomal RNA", at positions 28 to 507 of the family's 1533-position model. The record is from RNAcentral.
GACGAACGCUGGCGGCGUGCUUAACACAUGCGAGUCGAGCGAGGCCCCUCCUUCGGGAGGGUGUCCUAGCGGCGAACGGGUGAGUAACACGUGGGCAACCUGCCCGCAGCUCUGGGAUAACUCCGGGAAACCGGGGCUAAUACCGGAUACGACCUCCACGGGCAUCUGCGGAGGUGGAAAGGUUUUCGGCUGAGGAUGGGCCCGCGGCCUAUCAGCUAGUUGGUGGGGUAGUGGCCCACCAAGGCGACGACGGGUAGCCGGCCUGAGAGGGCGACCGGCCACACUGGGACUGGGCCACGGCCCAGACUCCUACGGGAGGCAACAGUGGGGAAUAUUGCGCAAUGGGCGAGAGCCUGACGCAGCGACGCCGCGUGAGGGACGAAGGCCUUCGGGUUGUAAACCUCUUUCAGCAGGGACGAAGCGAAAGUGACGGUACCUGCAGAAGAAGCACCGGCCAACUACGUG